Gavialis gangeticus (Gharial) is the source of this 493-nucleotide long non-coding RNA. RefSeq lists it as uncharacterized. The transcript has 3 exons. Lineage: Eukaryota; Metazoa; Chordata; Crocodylia; Gavialidae. The record is from RefSeq and is a predicted model, not a curated record.
CUGCAGCAGCUGGAGGAAUGGGAAGAGCAGCAGCUUGGUAGGAAGGAGCCCAGAAGCUGCAAAUUAAUUGCUUGUGGGCUGCAUGUGGUCCGUAGGCCAUCAGUUGGACAGCCCUCUUAGAUGUAUGGAGUUUCUCUUCCCACUCCUUAGCAGCACAAAGAAAAUAAGAUAACCAUGAACUUGAAAAACAAGCCAUUUGCAGGUAGACUGAGCCAAAAGAAAAAGGAACAUCCUACAUGGAGAUGUGACAUGCUCUGUUGCAGGGGGAGCUUGUUUCCUCUGGGAAACAGGAUUGUCUGCUUCAGAUUGGAAGCCGGCCUUAGAUUUAACUAUGGAAAGGCUACUGCUUCUUAAUACAGCAUGACACAACUUAAACAGGAUUUGCUGGUGCAUGCUUACAUGUGCAAAAAUAAGCUGUUUUGAAUUUGAUUGUGGGUUUAUCCUUGUGGAAGCAAAUAUAUCUGCAUGUAUAAAUAAAGAGGACAAGUGAACA